GUCGUAACAAGGUUUCCGUAGGUGAACCUGCGGAAGGAUCAUUACCUAGAGUUUGUAGACUUCGGUCUGCUACCUCUUACCCAUGUCUUUUGAGUACCUACGUUUCCUCGGCGGGUCCGCCCGCCGAUUGGACAACAUUCAAACCCUUUGCAGUUGCAAUCAGCGUCUGAAAAAACAUAAUAGUUACAACUUUCAACAACGGAUCUCUUGGUUCUGGCAUCGAUGAAGAACGCAGCGAAAUGCGAUAAGUAGUGUGAAUUGCAGAAUUCAGUGAAUCAUCGAAUCUUUGAACGCACAUUGCGCCCCUUGGUAUUCCAUGGGGCAUGCCUGUUCGAGCGUCAUUUGUACCUUCAAGCUCUGCUUGGUGUUGGGUGUUUGUCUCGCCUCUGCGUGUAGACUCGCCUUAAAACAAUUGGCAGCCGGCGUAUUGAUUUCGGAGCGCAGUACAUCUCGCGCUUUGCACUCAUAACGACGACGUCCAAAAGUACAUUUUUACACUCUUGACCUCGGAUCAGGUAGGGAUACCCGCUGAACUUAAGCAUAUCA
RNAcentral lists this ribosomal RNA (546 nucleotides) under uncultured fungus. Its description in RNAcentral is "eukaryotic LSU rRNA". The stretch from base 188 to 341 matches the Rfam family "5.8S ribosomal RNA". The record is from RNAcentral. Lineage: Eukaryota; Fungi.